This 253-nucleotide ribosomal RNA is filed under the name uncultured bacterium. RNAcentral describes it as "partial 16S ribosomal RNA". It matches the Rfam family "Bacterial small subunit ribosomal RNA", at positions 524 to 776 of the family's 1533-position model. The record is from RNAcentral.
UACAGAGGGUGCGAGCGUUAAUCGGAAUUACUGGGCGUAAAGCGUGCGUAGACGGUUAUUUAAGUCGGAUGUGAAAGCCCCGGGCUCAACCUGGGAAUUGCAUUCGAGACUGAAUAGCUAGGGUGCGGUAGAGGGAAGCGGAAUUUCCGGUGUAGCGGUGAAAUGCGUAGAUAUCGGAAGGAACAUCAGUGGCGAAAGCGGCUUCCUGGACCAGCACCGACGUUCAGGCACGAAAGCGUGGGGAUCAAACAGG